Molecule: ribosomal RNA, 830 nt
Filed under: Leptosphaerulina trifolii
Lineage: Eukaryota; Fungi; Ascomycota; Dothideomycetes; Pleosporales; Didymellaceae
Description: LSU rRNA
Rfam family: Eukaryotic large subunit ribosomal RNA
Source: RNAcentral
GGGAUUGCCCUAGUAACGGCGAGUGAAGCGGCAACAGCUCAAAUUUGAAAUCUGGCGUCUUUGGCGUCCGAGUUGUAAUUUGCAGAGGGCGCUUUGGCAUUGGCAGCGGUCCAAGUUCCUUGGAACAGGACGUCACAGAGGGUGAGAAUCCCGUACGUGGUCGCUAGCCUUUACCGUGUAAAGCCCCUUCGACGAGUCGAGUUGUUUGGGAAUGCAGCUCUAAAUGGGAGGUAAAUUUCUUCUAAAGCUAAAUACUGGCCAGAGACCGAUAGCGCACAAGUAGAGUGAUCGAAAGAUGAAAAGCACUUUGGAAAGAGAGUUAAAAAGCACGUGAAAUUGUUGAAAGGGAAGCGCUUGCAGCCAGACUUGCCUGUAGUUGCUCAUCCGGGUUUCUACCCGGUGCACUCUUCUAUAGGCAGGCCAGCAUCAGUUUGGGCGGUUGGAUAAAGGUCUCUGUCAUGUACCUCCUUUCGGGGAGAACUUAUAGGGGAGACGACAUGCAACCAGCCCGGACUGAGGUCCGCGCAUCUGCUAGGAUGCUGGCGUAAUGGCUGUAAGCGGCCCGUCUUGAAACACGGACCAAGGAGUCUAACAUCUAUGCGAGUGUUUGGGUGUCAAGCCCGAGCGCGUAAUGAAAGUGAACGGAGGUGGGAACCUUUCGGGGUGCACCAUCGACCGAUCCUGAUGUCUUCGGAUGGAUUUGAGUAAGAGCAUAGCUGUUGGGACCCGAAAGAUGGUGAACUAUGCUUGAAUAGGGUGAAGCCAGAGGAAACUCUGGUGGAGGCUCGCAGCGGUUCUGACGUGCAAAUCGAUCGUCAAAUUUGGGCAUA